AACGAACGCUGGCGGCAGGCCUAACACAUGCAAGUCGAACGCUGUAGCAAUACGGAGUGGCAGACGGGUGAGUAACGCGUGGGAACCUUCCCAGUGGUACGGAAUAACUCAGGGAAACUUGAGCUAAUACCGUAUACGCCCCUCGGGGGAAAGAUUUAUCGCCAUUGGAUGGGCCCGCGUCGGAUUAGCUAGUUGGUGAGGUAACGGCUCACCAAGGCGACGAUCCGUAGCUGGUCUGAGAGGAUGAUCAGCCACACUGGGACUGAGACACGGCCCAGACUCCUACGGGAGGCAGCAGUGGGGAAUAUUGGACAAUGGGCGCAAGCCUGAUCCAGCCAUGCCGCGUGAGUGACGAAGGCCUUAGGGUUGUAAAGCUCUUUUGGCGGGGAAGAUAAUGACGGUACCCGCAGAAUAGGCUCCGGCUAACUUCGUGCCAGCAGCCGCCGUAA
This 449-nucleotide ribosomal RNA is filed under the name uncultured bacterium. Its description in RNAcentral is "partial 16S ribosomal RNA". It matches the Rfam family "Bacterial small subunit ribosomal RNA", at positions 29 to 523 of the family's 1533-position model. The record is from RNAcentral.